This 529-nucleotide long non-coding RNA is filed under the name Elaeis guineensis (African oil palm). RNAcentral describes it as "long non-coding RNA (EGUI_LNC017359)". The record is from RNAcentral. Lineage: Eukaryota; Viridiplantae; Streptophyta; Magnoliopsida; Arecales; Arecaceae.
GCGUGUCUUUGUAGAGGUGAGGAGUGAGAGGGCUCGAGACGAUGUCGGGAAGAUGGAGCUUCGGAGGAUGCUUGCCAAGAAGGAUAAGUUGAUUUUUGAGUUGCAUGUGGCAUUGAAGAGCACUGAAGGGAGCACUGAGAUCAAGGAUACAGAGGGGAGUACUUAUGAGGUGAUAUCAGAUGUGCUGCUUAUUGAGUUUGUGAGUGCUGAUAGCCCGACGGUACCCAUUGAGCAUGCAAACCCACAGCAUAUUGAGAGAUGGGUUACACAGUGGAAGUAGACAGUUCGGAGCUCCCAUCUCCUAUGCAGUCCAUUCAUCCUCCUACCUUCAACUACUCCGGAUCUCAAAAGAAAGCCCAAAAAAAAGUCAGUCCACCAUAGGGAUGAUGACAUAGUAAGUAGAGUAAUGAUUUAGUAGAACAUGCACACUUCAUUCAUAUUUGAUAUCCAACAAACUCAUGCGAUAUGCAGGGAUUUUUUGAGACUAGCAGUGACUUCUCUGGGUUGCAACUUCUAGAUGAUGCGGAGC